Non-coding RNA from Pelobates cultripes (western spadefoot toad), 245 nucleotides. The record is from the annotation of a GenBank genome assembly. Lineage: Eukaryota; Metazoa; Chordata; Amphibia; Anura; Pelobatidae.
CAGCAUCAACCAUUACAUUUUGCUGGGUAAUUGCAACUGCAAGGAACUUCAAUCUCUCAUAGGUUCGUUGAACUUUGCCAUGCGCAUCAUCCCUCAAGGGCGUGCUUUCAUAUCCAGACUUGUCUGUCUUUUUCCACAUUUCCAACACGACAGCUAUAGACUGUCCUUGGAUGUGCACGCCACGACAGACCUUUACAUGUGGAAAGAAUUCUUGACCACCUGGAAUGGUAAAAGCUUGUACCUAC